CGGGGUGAGUAACACGUGGGUAACCUGCCCGGAAGUGGGGAAUACCUCGGGGAAACUCGAGCUAAUACCGCAUGACAUCUUCGGGACGAAAGUCCUGACGAUCAAAGCGGGGUCGCAAGACCUCGCGCUACCGGAUGGGCCCGCGCCCGAUUAGCUAGUUGGCGAGGUAAUGGCUCACCAAGGCUUCGAUCGGUAACCGGCCUGAGAGGGCGAUCGGUCACACCGGAACUGAGACACGGUCCGG
Molecule: ribosomal RNA, 244 nt
Filed under: uncultured bacterium
Lineage: Bacteria
Description: partial 16S ribosomal RNA
Rfam family: Bacterial small subunit ribosomal RNA
Source: RNAcentral